UUCGCAAUGCCCGAAAGGGUGACGAAGCGACGCCGCGUGCGGGAAGAAGGCCUUCGGGUUGUAAACCGCUGUCGGGAGUUAAGAAAUGUAAGGAUGUUAAUAGCAUCUUUGCUUGACUAAGGCUCCGGAGGAAGCCACGGCUAACUCUGCGCCAGCAGCCGCGGUAAUACAGAGGCGGCAAGCGUUGUUCGGAAUUAUUGGGCGUAAAGAGCACGUAGGCGGCUAUGUAAGUCGGUUGUGAAAGCCUUCCGCUCAACGGGAGAACAGCAUCCGAUACUGCAUGGCUUGAGUGCGGGAGGGGAGAGUGGAACUUCUGGUGGAGCGGUGAAAUGCGUAGAUAUCAGAAGGAACGCCGGCGGCGAAAGCGGCUCUCUGGCCCAUAACUGACGCUGAGUGUGCGAAAGCUAGGGGAGCAAACGGGAUUAGAUACCCCGGUAGUCCUAGCCGUAAACGAUGGGCACUAAGUAGAGGGGUUUU
RNAcentral lists this ribosomal RNA (477 nucleotides) under uncultured Planctomycetales bacterium. RNAcentral's name for it is "bacterial SSU rRNA". It matches the Rfam family "Bacterial small subunit ribosomal RNA", at positions 365 to 832 of the family's 1533-position model. The record is from RNAcentral. Lineage: Bacteria; Pseudomonadati; Planctomycetota; Planctomycetia; Planctomycetales.